RNAcentral lists this long non-coding RNA (255 nucleotides) under Elaeis guineensis (African oil palm). RNAcentral's name for it is "long non-coding RNA (EGUI_LNC067971)". The record is from RNAcentral. Lineage: Eukaryota; Viridiplantae; Streptophyta; Magnoliopsida; Arecales; Arecaceae.
CUAACUUGAAAAACUUCAUCAAGAAAAUUGUCAAAACAGAUUUAAUAAUUAACAUAAUUAAGUAGUUAUUAUAACAGAAAAAAUUUGUAACAAAAUUCUGUUAAAAUAGAUUUUUAACAGAUUAUAACCAACCAUUGAUUUGUAUCCCAAAAUCUAGUCAAAAUCAGAUCAGAAAAAUUCAGACAAAUAGAUUCAAAUCAGAUUUAAUUUAUACAAAAAAAAAUCUGAUCACAUAUCGGAUGUGAUCAUACCAAA